Molecule: ribosomal RNA, 497 nt
Filed under: uncultured bacterium
Lineage: Bacteria
Description: partial 16S ribosomal RNA
Rfam family: Bacterial small subunit ribosomal RNA
Source: RNAcentral
GAUGAACGCUGGCGGCGUGCCUAAUACAUGCAAGUCGAGCGAACAGACGAGGAGCUUGCUCCUUCGACGUUAGCGGCGGACGGGUGAGUAACACGUAGGUAACCUACCUAUAAGACUGGGAUAACUUCGGGAAACCGGAGCUAAUACCGGAUAAUAUUUCGAACCCCAUGGUUCGAUAGUGAAAGAUGGCUUUGCUAUCACUUAUAGAUGGACCUGCGCCGUAUUAGCUAGUUGGUAAGGUAACGGCUUACCAAGGCAACGAUACGUAGCCGACCUGAGAGGGUGAUCGGCCACACUGGAACUGAGACACGGUCCAGACUCCUACGGGAGGCAGCAGUAGGGAAUCUUCCGCAAUGGGCGAAAGCCUGACGGAGCAACGCCGCGUGAGUGAUGAAGGUCUUCGGAUCGUAAAACUCUGUUAUUAGGGAAGAACAAACGUGUAAGUAACUGUGCACGUCUUGACGGUACCUAAUCAGAAAGCCACGGCUAACUACGUG